UUGCAGCCUUAUCACGGUGAAACACUGGUUCCUGUAUGAUCACUGAAGUUAAGCAACAUCAAACCUGGUCAGUACCUAGAUGGGCGACUGCUUUGGAAUACCAGGUGUUGUAAG
Acanthosepion pharaonis is the source of this 114-nucleotide non-coding RNA. The record is from the annotation of a GenBank genome assembly. NCBI's taxonomy places the organism in Eukaryota, Metazoa, Mollusca, Cephalopoda, Sepiida, Sepiidae.